This 298-nucleotide long non-coding RNA is filed under the name Daucus carota (carrot). RNAcentral's name for it is "long non-coding RNA (DCAR_LNC006757)". The record is from RNAcentral. Lineage: Eukaryota; Viridiplantae; Streptophyta; Magnoliopsida; Apiales; Apiaceae.
AACUUUGUAGAUCUUUGUCAUGAUCGAACGGCCACUUGUAGUUGAUGCAGAACAUUUAAUCUGAGUAGCUGACACACAAAUGUACUGUCUGGUUCAUCUGUAUCUAGCUGAAUUAAAUAUUCUUUAUCAAAUAAACAUUUGAGACGAGGCUUGUUCGUCGAGUCUAUGUCUUCGUAGUUCUUCUUCAUAAGUAACAGUAGUAUGGAAUCUUAUGAAUAAAAAAAGUAUUAAAACUUUAUACCUUCUAGACUUCUGGACGUGCUACAAAAGAUUAUUUGUACACUGAGGCUUGAACAUA